GAAAAAUUAGUUUAAUNUAAAAUAUAAACCUGUCAGAUUUAUGAAACUUUUAAGUAUUUUUCU
This 63-nucleotide transfer RNA is filed under the name Kikihia subalpina. RNAcentral describes it as "tRNA-Asp". The record is from RNAcentral. Lineage: Eukaryota; Metazoa; Arthropoda; Insecta; Hemiptera; Cicadidae.